GAGAAGGAAGCAGCGUAGGUUAGGUGUUGCAGUAGCGGAACACGUCACCUCUGCCAACCAUUUUUUUGGAUUUUGGAGAACGUGAGCGCGAAGAUCGGGCACUCGCUCCGAUUCCCUUCCAUUUCACCGUUUCAAGCAAAGCGCUAACCAUUUCUCGCACACUUUCAUUUUCAGUCCCAGGUUCAGUUUGUAAAUGGCUAAAGAUGGUAAGGUGCGGUGCAAGUCCCGGUGUCAAGGUCACACGACAACCCCAUGUCUUUUAACUUGUGCAAGAAAAAAUCUGAAAGAUGUUAAUGUAAAGAAGAGGUUUUCUAAAGCAUCAGAAAAGAAAGAUUGGGAAGAUGCAACCUGCUCAGUGUGCAUGGAGGUCCCUCAUAAUGCUAUCCUUCUCCUUUGUUCAUCCUAUGACAAGGGUUGUCGCCCUUACAUGUGUGCUACUAGUCAUCGCUAUUCAAACUGUUUUGAACAGUACAAAAAGGCAUACACAAAAGCAACUUCUGUUCAAAGUUUUCGGCUUGAAACAGACAAUUCAAAUUUUGAUUUAAGCACAGGUGACCCUAAUGACAAUACAGAAGUUCCUGAGCUUCUUUGCCCCCUUUGUCGCCGGCAGGUGAAAGGUUGGACAGUAGUUGAAGCAGCACGGAAGUCUUUGAAUGCCAAGAAAAGAAGCUGCAUGCAAGAUGAUUGCUCCUUUGUAGGGAAUUACAAGGAACUUAGGAAGCAUGUCAGGUCUAAGCAUCCAUUCUCACGACCACGAGAGGUGGACCCAAUAAGAGAAGAAAAAUGGAAGAGACUUGAGUGUGAAAGAGAACGGAAUGAUGUGAUUAGCACAAUUUUAUCUUCGACACCAGGGGCUAUGGUACUUGGGGAUUACGUACUGGAGCCAAAUGAACAUACCUUUUAUAGUGACGAAUAUGAUUCUGAUGAGGAAUAUCUGGAGGAUGAUUUCUUCUCAGUGAGGUCCUUCGGUUUGGGGAGAACUGGCCAUUUUUUGUCACACAUUAGGUAUAAUCAGGACCGUGCUGCUGAUUCUUUUGCCAUUGAUCGUUUUGGUUUGCAGAGUGUUGCACCUACAGGUUCUGCUGCUGUCUCUGGACGUGGACUGCACAGGCUACUGUUAGGAAGGUCUAGAAGACGACGGAGGCAUAGGAUAGCAAAUGCAAGAAGGUAAAAUCAAAGACAAACUAUAGAAAUGUGGGGGAAAAGCUGCACUUCUGCAAAUAGUAUGCCAUUGAUCUUGGCAUGGCUAGUUUUGUUGCUAUGCCAGAGCAAUUUAUAAUUUAAUUGGCAGAGUAUGGCAGUUGACCCCUUUUCUAGUUGUGUACCAUCUCAUCUAUAGAUUGAUGUGGUUUAGGAGAUCCAGGUCAUUAUGACUGUUAGAUCCCAUAGGUUGGACUGGUUUCAUUCGGUCAUGCAAAGUGGUGAAUUGGACAGGGGAUUAGG
Molecule: RNA transcript, 1443 nt
Organism: Abrus precatorius (Indian licorice)
Lineage: Eukaryota; Viridiplantae; Streptophyta; Magnoliopsida; Fabales; Fabaceae
Exons: 3
Source: RefSeq, a predicted model, not a curated record